This is a long non-coding RNA of Micropterus dolomieu (smallmouth bass), 1266 nucleotides long. RefSeq lists it as uncharacterized. NCBI's taxonomy places the organism in Eukaryota, Metazoa, Chordata, Actinopteri, Centrarchiformes, Centrarchidae. The record is from RefSeq and is a predicted model, not a curated record. The transcript has 3 exons.
CUGUGUCGGCCUCUCUCACCUGGGUUGGGCGUCUCGACUGUUGGCGACGGUGGUCGGCGUUGUGGUGUGCUGAUGCGAGUGUUGAUGCGAGUGCUGUUAUGGCCUGUAGCGCAACAGUUUAGCUGUUAACGGCCCUAAACCUGUGGAGUCGCCUGGUCGGCGUUCUGUAUAUGCACGCGACGUUGCUCCCGGUCCGUGUGAGCGAAUUGUUUGCUGUGCGGGCUGUCUCGCUCUUGCCUGUGGGCUGAUUAUGUGUGAGCGCUGUGGAAUCGUGGGGUGAUCUGCUGCCUCGGCAGGGGUUUGAACGCCGGCUUGGUCCGUCUGCCUUGUGUCUCGGCUUUGGUUAUAUCUCUCCCUGUCUCUCUCUCUCCCUCCCCCUGUGGGAUUGCCCUCUGCCUGGUCGGCCCAGUUCAGGUGUCGUCCCGAAAAGUGAUCGUCCGCCGAAAACUGAUGUUUGGUAGGCCUAUGUCCCAAUAUCUCCGUUUAUAUUUGGAAAACUGACUGUAUAGCCUAAUUAACAUGACUUACUGCCAACUUGUAUAUAAAAUGAAGACAAUUUUGUAAUUAUCCUUAUGACUGCAUUAUUUUACUUGCUGUGUAGGCCUACCGACCAAUCCACUUUUUUUACCUGUUAAAAUACCUCUUAAAUGGCCAAUACAACUCAUAAAAUGCAGUAUUUCACUUGCCAGAAAAUGAUCGAAGCCUUUUGUUAUUGACUGGUUAUUUCUGCCCUGAAAUUAGUUGACUUCAUUCAGAAGAGUUAUAUUUGACAGAUUAUAGCUCACCUAGUACUUUAUGUCUUAAAAUACCUUUAAAUGGCCAAUACAACCCAUAAAAUGCAGUAGGCUAUUUCACUUGCCGGAAAGUGACUGAAGAGACUGGGCAAUACAGCUCCAGCAGAUUGCAAUCAUUUUUCGGCACAACACCUGUCACCUUUUUAUUAGCAUUUUUUUGUUUGGGUCUAGUUAUAGUAUAUUUAGUUUAUACAGUUGGCAUCUUGUGUUGUGAUUUUCAAUCUUCUGUUUUCAUCUUGGUUGGUUUGAAUUAAUUGACUUGCAUGUUUUGAUUUGUGUUGUUUUGAUUUAUUCUCUCUGCCAUUGUAUUUUAAAUAGUAAGCCUAUAUUGUAUUUUAAAUUAUUUGGCCCAUAUUUCUAUUAUUCAAUGGCAUGCCUUAAGUGGUAGCCUAUACGUAGUUGGUGUUCUGUUAAAUUACUUUGGUUGUUUUUAAUUAGAACUUAGUUUAAUAAAUUUAAAUGUAAAACACUC